Molecule: ribosomal RNA, 301 nt
Filed under: uncultured bacterium
Lineage: Bacteria
Description: partial 16S ribosomal RNA
Rfam family: Bacterial small subunit ribosomal RNA
Source: RNAcentral
CAGUAGCCACGGUAAUACAGAGGAUGCAAGCGUUAUCCGGAAUUAUUGGGCGUAAAGGGCUCGCAGGCGGUUUCUUAAGUCUGGUGUGAAAGCCCCCGGCUCAACCGGGGAGGGUCAUUGGAAACUGGGAAACUUGAGUGCAGAAGAGGAGAGUGGAAUUCCACGUGUAGCGGUGAAAUGCGUAGAGAUGUGGAGGAACACCAGUGGCGAAGGCGACUCUCUGGUCUGUAACUGACGCUGAGGAGCGAAAGCGUGGGGAGCGAACAGGAUUAGAUACCCCCGUAGUCCCUGUCUCUUAUAA